Molecule: non-coding RNA, 69 nt
Organism: Ictidomys tridecemlineatus (thirteen-lined ground squirrel)
Lineage: Eukaryota; Metazoa; Chordata; Mammalia; Rodentia; Sciuridae
Source: Rfam
GGGGUUGUAGCUCAGUAGUAGAGCACUUGCCUGGCAUGUGUGAGGCAAUGGGUUUGAUUCUCAACACCA